RNAcentral lists this ribosomal RNA (228 nucleotides) under uncultured bacterium. RNAcentral's name for it is "partial 16S ribosomal RNA". It matches the Rfam family "Bacterial small subunit ribosomal RNA", at positions 568 to 796 of the family's 1533-position model. The record is from RNAcentral.
UGCGUAGGCGGGGAAGCAAGUUUGUGGUGAAACCUGACGGCUCAACUGUCAGCCCGCCUCGAAAACUGCUUCUCUUGAGUGCUGUAGAGGAGAUCGGAAUUCCUGGUGUAGCGGUGAAAUGCGUAGAUAUCAGGAAGAACACCGGUUGCGAAGGCGGAUCUCUGGGCAUGCACUGACGCUGAGGCACGAAAGCUGGGGGAGCAAACAGGAUUAGAACCCUGGUAGUCC